UACGGAGGGUGCAAGCGUUGUCCGGAUUCAUUGGGUUUAAUGGGUGCGUAGGCGGUUUAUUAAGUCAGUGGUGAAAGUUUGCGGCUUAACCGUAAAAUUGCCACUGAUACUGAUAAACUUGAAUUAAGUUGAGGUAGGCGGAAUUCGUGGUGUAGCGGUGAAAUGCAUAGAUACCACGAAGAACACCGAUAGCGUAGGCAGCUUACUAAGCUUAUAUUGACGCUGAGGCACGAAAGCGUGGGUAGCGAACAGG
This 253-nucleotide unclassified non-coding RNA is filed under the name uncultured Cytophagales bacterium. RNAcentral's name for it is "contains 16S-23S intergenic spacer region". It matches the Rfam family "Bacterial small subunit ribosomal RNA", at positions 524 to 776 of the family's 1533-position model. The record is from RNAcentral. Lineage: Bacteria; Pseudomonadati; Bacteroidota; Sphingobacteriia; Sphingobacteriales.